Molecule: ribosomal RNA, 301 nt
Filed under: uncultured bacterium
Lineage: Bacteria
Description: partial 16S ribosomal RNA
Rfam family: Bacterial small subunit ribosomal RNA
Source: RNAcentral
CAGCCGCCGCGGGAAUACGAAGGGUGCAAGCGUUACUCGGAAUUACUGGGCGUAAAGCGUGCGUAGGUGGUGGUUUAAGUCCGUUGUGAAAGCCCUGGGCUCAACCUGGGAAUUGCAGUGGAUACUGGAUCACUAGAGUGUGGUAGAGGAUAGUGGAAUUUCCGGUGUAGCAGUGAAAUGCGUAGAGAUCGGAAGGAACAUCUGUGGCGAAGGCGACUAUCUGGGCCAACACUGACACUGAGGCACGAAAGCGAGGGGAGCAAACAGGAUUAGAUACCCGCGUAGUCCCUGUCUCUUAUAC